Molecule: ribosomal RNA, 305 nt
Filed under: uncultured bacterium
Lineage: Bacteria
Description: bacterial SSU rRNA
Rfam family: Bacterial small subunit ribosomal RNA
Source: RNAcentral
GGGGCCUACGGGACGCAGCAGUGAGGAAUAUUGGUCAAUGGGCGGGAGCCUGAACCAGCCAAGUCGCGUGAAGGAAGAAGGUACUUAGUAUUGUAAACUUCUUUUGUCGGGGAACAAAGGCGGAGACGCGUCUCCGGAUGAGCGUACCCGAAGAAAAAGCAUCGGCUAACUCCGUGCCAGCAGCUGCGGUAAUACGGAGGAUGCGAGCGUUAUCCGGAUUUAUUGGGUUUAAAGGGUGCGCAGGCGGGAGAUAAAGUCAGCGUGUAAAUGUCGGGGCACAAACCCGGCCGGCCGUUGAAACUGGG